UACGAAGGGACCUAGCGUAGUUCGGAAUUACUGGGCUUAAAGAGCUCGUAGGUGGUUAGAAAAGUUGGUAGUGAAAGCCCAAGGCUUAACCUUGGAACUGCUAUCAAAACUUUUUAACUAGAGUAUGAUAGAGGAAAGUGGAAUUUCUAGUGUAGAGGUGAAAUUCGUAGAUAUUAGAAAGAACACCGAUUGCGAAGGCAGCUUUCUGGAUCAUUACUGACACUGAGGAGCGAAAGCAUGGGUAGCGAAGAGG
RNAcentral lists this ribosomal RNA (253 nucleotides) under uncultured Pelagibacterales bacterium. Its description in RNAcentral is "partial 16S ribosomal RNA". It matches the Rfam family "Bacterial small subunit ribosomal RNA", at positions 524 to 776 of the family's 1533-position model. The record is from RNAcentral. Lineage: Bacteria; Pseudomonadati; Pseudomonadota; Alphaproteobacteria; Candidatus Pelagibacterales.